Molecule: ribosomal RNA, 349 nt
Filed under: uncultured Synechococcus sp.
Lineage: Bacteria; Bacillati; Cyanobacteriota; Cyanophyceae; Synechococcales; Synechococcaceae
Description: bacterial SSU rRNA
Rfam family: Bacterial small subunit ribosomal RNA
Source: RNAcentral
CUCUGGGCUGUAAACCUCUUUUCUCAAGGAAGAAGAUCUGACGGUACUUGAGGAAUAAGCCACGGCUAAUUCCGUGCCAGCAGCCGCGGUAAUACGGGAGUGGCAAGCGUUAUCCGGAAUUAUUGGGCGUAAAGCGUCCGCAGGCGGCCUUGUAAGUCUGUCGUUAAAGCGUGGAGCUUAACUCCAUUUCAGCGGUGGAAACUACAAGGCUUGAGUGUGGUAGGGGCAGAGGGAAUUCCCGGUGUAGCGGUGAAAUGCGUAGAUAUCGGGAAGAACACCAGUGGCGAAGGCGCUCUGCUGGGCCAUAACUGACGCUCAUGGACGAAAGCCAGGGGAGCGAAAGGGAUUA